CUUUUCAAUACUCCUUAUCAAUACUAUUUUCCUCUCAUUCUCUCUUCUCCAUUCAUUCUAUUUGCUCCCUUCUCUACACACAUUUCCAGCGAAAGACAUUUCCUGAUUCUCCUUCUCCCAUUCCAAGCACCUUCCACAGGGUGAAAAAACAUGUCAGGGCCACCAAUAUUUGUCGCUAAUUUGAAGCCUGAACAUAACGUUUGGAAACUUGUUAUCCGCAUCGUCGAUCUAUGAUUUGUAAAGGAACGAAACAUCCAGCAACAUCUUGAAGCUAUUAUACAAGAUGCAAAGGGUGACCAAAUCCACGUCGCUACCGGUCCCGAGAACUUGAAAUAUGGAAAAACACCUUAUAGGAACAUCAAACCUACAGGGUGACAACAAGCUCCAACCUUACUACAAACAGGUGUCCAUUAUCAAGCUUACUCAAGACCGGGAAGUAAUAUCCAUAUGAUUGAGGAUGCCAUAAAUCCUACUCUGGUAUUACUUCUGACUUUAUACAAAAAGGCAAUAGUUCCCAAAGAAGACCUACACGACAAUAACACCCUUACUCAAGCAUCCAAUUCCACUGUAUGUAUUUAUGCAUUCCUUUAUGUACCAUUAUUAACAACAUGACCUUUUUAUUAGAACUAACUCUACAACAUGUCAUCUUAUUUUGUAAUGAAGAUACAAUUAAUUUGGAAUACCUGCUAUAUUCAUUGUGAUGAAUUUAUCCGACUUCUAUUUUGUAAUGAAGAUACAAUUAAUUUGGAAUACCUGCCAUAUGGUCAGGUGGUAGCAGGAAUUGCUAUGAAUAUGUACUUAACCCCUAGGUACAUACUGUUUCCAUUUUAUGAGAAAUACAUCCAAACUUAAAAACCUCUAAAUACUUAUUUCUCAUAAAGACCAUACACCUCUUUAUUUCCAGGACAAUUACAACAUUCCCAACAUUUUUUAGAAUUUAUUGUCUAAACCGGGUCAUUGAGCAGAAAUGCUAGACAAUGCAUUCCUCAACUUUUUUUAGAAUUUCCAAUCAUGCAUAACAAUGCUUUUUCUUUAACAGAUGCUUAUAUCCGCAACAACUUUAGCAUAUUCACGUGUUCAUUAUUUAAUAACACUUAACUCACAUCAUAUGUACUUCAUUUUUACAUUUCUAUAGAGCCUAUUGAUAUCACAGUGCCAUGUCCCAUCAAAUGUUAUUACUUUUCACCUAUUAAUACUUUAUUAUGCAUUGCCGUAAUUCUGGAGGCUUUUUUCUACCGGGCCUACAACACAACAUGGUUAUAUGUAUUUGGAUGCGACUGUAAGAUACGACUAUCAGUGCAGGUCCUAUUUUUUUUAUUUAUUUUGAGCAAUAAGUCAAAAUAUGAAUUAUUUAUAUUGAUACCAUGUUCAGUCAUUUCUCUUUCCUUAGCCAGCUUUUCAUAUUUGAUAAAGCCUAGGUAAGUAGUAGUACAUUACUAUAUGGUUUCAUAAAGUUCUUUAUAGAAGUAAUCAUCACUAUUUAAAGGAAUGCUUCUGUAUCUAUCUAUAAGAUUUCCUAUUGUAUUACACUUCAUCAAUUUCAAUCACUACUCAGCAUUUUCCAAGAAAAGUUUCAUGAUAAUGUCUUUUGUGGAACCAAACAGAUAUUGAAAUAGUUGAUUUGGACACUAGAAAAUGAUAUGGUUAUGAAAUACUCCAAGCAAAGAGGAUGUGUUUGAGAAGUUCAUCGGUAAAGCUUGGUAUAGUUUUGCCAAGACAAGAAGAAGUAGGAAAGGUGUUGUGUUGGGUUUCACUCUUAUAAAUCCUCACCAAAGGUUGUAUGUGUACUUGAAGAAUCGAUAUUGAAAGUUUCAUGUCCGUGGUGUCAUUUUGAAGUAUCUUUAAAGUGUAUGGUCUCAUUUCCAGGAAACUUAGACGUUUGUGUUGAUAUUUUGACGAAACGGUAGUGGUUUUGUAAUGUCGUAUACUUGAUAAAUAGUUUAUAUAUGGGAAUAUACCAUGAUGACUAAUCAUUGAACCAUAUAUAUUAACAUUCACAAAAAUUUAUA
Vicia villosa (hairy vetch) is the source of this 2009-nucleotide long non-coding RNA. RefSeq lists it as uncharacterized. NCBI's taxonomy places the organism in Eukaryota, Viridiplantae, Streptophyta, Magnoliopsida, Fabales, Fabaceae. The transcript has 3 exons. The record is from RefSeq and is a predicted model, not a curated record.